This 253-nucleotide ribosomal RNA is filed under the name uncultured bacterium. RNAcentral describes it as "partial 16S ribosomal RNA". It matches the Rfam family "Bacterial small subunit ribosomal RNA", at positions 524 to 776 of the family's 1533-position model. The record is from RNAcentral.
UACGUAGGUGGCGAGCGUUGUCCGGAUUUACUGGGCGUAAAGAGCGCGCAGGCGGUCGUUCAAGUCGCGUGUGAAAGCCCCCGGCUCAACUGGGGAGGGUCACGCGAUACUGAUCGACUCGAAGGCAGGAGAGGGUAGUGGAAUUCCCGGUGUAGUGGUGAAAUGCGUAGAGAUCGGGAAGAACAUCGGUGGCGAAGGCGGCCUGCUGGGCUGUUGCUGACGCUGAGGCGCGACAGCGUGGGGAGCAAACAGG